Zeugodacus cucurbitae (melon fly) is the source of this 1559-nucleotide long non-coding RNA. RefSeq lists it as uncharacterized. The record is from RefSeq and is a predicted model, not a curated record. NCBI's taxonomy places the organism in Eukaryota, Metazoa, Arthropoda, Insecta, Diptera, Tephritidae. The transcript has 3 exons.
GUCGAAUCGCGUAGCAAAGCACGAAUUGUUAGUCAUGAAGGUUUUGUUAUGUGUUUGCUGGAUUUGGCAAUUUUCACCAUGUAUUGAGGAAUCAGACUAAAACGGUGUCCGUGCUAGAUUUAGAAUUCCUGAAGUAUUAUCAUCAUUUAUGUUGUGAAAAUUAAAGUUUUUCUUUAUAUUGGAUGAAUCUUGUACUAGUGACAUUAAUGAAAAAAAAAAAAUCUUACAAAAAUUCCUAAAGAUACCAAAAAAAUCCUCACAUAAUGUGCGCUGCUUACACUUCCAGGCCACACGGGAUAGCCUUCAUCCGAUAGCAAAAAUUGGUCAACUAUUCAAUACUAUAUACAUAUGUAUAUAGUGAAGUACGAUAAUUCACAUAUCAAGUAGCUAACAAACAUCCGUUUGAAGGCGAGCUAAAGUGAGAAGGCGAACCCGCUUCUGCGGUUGCCCAGCUGGUUGAUGUCCUCAUACGACUCAAGGCUGACAUCACCGCCAUCCAAGAAGUGCGAUGGGCGGGACAAGGACGGAAGAAGGUGAGUCCUUGUGACAUCUACUACAGCGGCCAUAUAAAGGAGCGCAAAUUUGGUGUUGGAUUUGUGGUGGGAGAGAGACUUCGUCGCCGAGUCCUGGCAUUCACCACGGUGGAUGAACGUCUAGUCACAAUCCGCAUAAAAGCGAGGUUCUUCAACAUAUCGCUUAUUUGCGCCCACGCCCCAAACGGAGGAGAAGGACGAUGUGACCAAAGAUGCUUUCUAUGAGCGCCUAGAACGCACCUAUGAGCGCUGCCCCCGCCACGAUGACAAAAUUGUGCAUGGCGAUUUUAACGCCAGGGUGGGUAAAGAAGGUGUCUAUGGCACAACAGUCGGAAAAUUCAGCCUCCAUGAUGAAACAUCGCCAAACGGCCUGAGGCUGAUCGACUUCGCUGGGGCCCGAAAUAUGGUCGUCUGUAGUACCAGUUUUCAGCAUAAGAAAAUACAUCAAGCUACUUGGCUGUCUCCUAAUCGAAACACGCGUAACUAAAUCGAUCACGUUGUGAUAGACGGAAGACAUGUUUCCAGUGUUUUAGACGUGCGUACGCUCCGAGGACCAAAUAUGGACUCGGACCAUUAUCUGGUUGCAGCGAAGAUACGCACCCGCCUCUGUGCAGCAAAGAACGCCCGUCAACAAACACAUGGAAGGUUCGACGUCGAAAAGCUGCAAUCGCAACAGACAGCCCCGAAAUAGGUCGACUUCCUAAACGCAGGUUGCAAUGCAUAUUUACAAUGCAUAUUGUUACUAAAGUCAUACUUGAAUUUUCUGGCAACGCCUAAUGUUCCUAAUUAGUUGGCAACUCAGUUUUAAACGCAUCAGAUGUUUAAAGCGUGCAUCAAUUUUAUUUGGUAUGCAGAACAGACAAUGGCAGAAGAAAAAAAGUGGACACACGAGCGGAAGAAGUUAUUAAUAACAACAAGGCUUCGUCAUGAAGCAGAAUUUUCCGGCAAAAAAAGGAAGAGAAAUACAAUUUGGGAGUCGAUUUUAAGGGAAAUGAGGGACGUUGCGAGCUCGUUUCCAUUUUCAAG